GAUGAACGCUGGCGGCGUGCUUAACACAUGCAAGUCGAACGGAAAGGCUCCUGCUUGCAGGGGUACUCGAGUGGCGAACGGGUGAGUAACACGUGGGUGAUCUGCCCUGCACUUCGGGAUAAGCCUGGGAAACUGGGUCUAAUACCGGAUAGGACGAUGGUUUGGAUGCCAUUGUGGAAAGUUUUUCGGUGUGGGAUGAGCUCGCGGCCUAUCAGCUUGUUGGUGGGGUAAUGGCCUACCAAGGCGUCGACGGGUAGCCGGCCUGAGAGGGUGUACGGCCACAUUGGGACUGAGAUACGGCCGAGACUCCUACGGGAGGCAGCAGUGGGGAAUAUUGCACAAUGGGCGCAAGCCUGAUGCAGCGACGCCGCGUGGGGGAUGACGGCCUUCGGGUUGUAAACUCCUUUCGCUAGGGACGAAGCGCAAGUGACGGUACCUGGAGAAGAAGCACCGGCUAACUACGUG
RNAcentral lists this ribosomal RNA (465 nucleotides) under uncultured bacterium. RNAcentral describes it as "partial 16S ribosomal RNA". It matches the Rfam family "Bacterial small subunit ribosomal RNA", at positions 28 to 507 of the family's 1533-position model. The record is from RNAcentral.